Small nuclear RNA from Suncus etruscus (white-toothed pygmy shrew), 134 nucleotides. RefSeq annotates it as U4 spliceosomal RNA. Lineage: Eukaryota; Metazoa; Chordata; Mammalia; Eulipotyphla; Soricidae. The transcript has a single exon. The record is from RefSeq and is a predicted model, not a curated record.
AGCUUUGCACAGUGAUAGUAUCAUAGCCAAUGAGGUUUGUCUGAGGCGCGAUUAUUGCUAAUUGAAAACUUAAAAUUCUGCCUUUUUUUUUUUUUUUUUUUUUUUUUUUUGGUUUUUGGCCACACCCGGCGGUG